CAAUUUUUUUUGUUUUGUCUUUUCCGUAGCUUAACUCUCUCUGCAACAGUGGUUCUAAUAAUGACUAAUCCUCAGCUACUUCGUGCUCAGAUGAAGGCAGGUCGAUGUAUCUAGACGGUUGAGACAUGGGUUUUAUGCUUUUGAAAGGCACGAAAUAUCAAGAAAGGAGGCCAGCGAUGGGAGUCGACAUGAUUUUAGUUGAUGAAAAGGCUUCCGUUGCGUUCAUCGCUCCAAAAAGUUGCGAUUUAUGAGACUGUGAUUGCUCUUUAUCAUUUGUUUUGUACGGAUGGAUAUAUAUCUGAAACCAAGCCUCUGAAUUAUAUGGCUGGAUCAAGGAUGAUUUUGUGGCUGAAGGAUUGAAAACAGUCAUGAAUAGGGCUCAAGUCGUCAAAGCUUUGGUACGGAGAUGUAUCAUUUGCUUAAGAAACUAAUUUGAGAUCCUCUUAAUCGAUAAAAGGCUACUUCUCCAUCCUGAGUCUGAUGAUUCUUCUCAGUAUCCCAGAUUGACCUCUCAGCUGUCCUUGCUAUCAACUUUGAAUCAAGCCGGUGAAUUGACUGACUCUUCAGUCACUUUGCCAAAAAAAAAAAACUGAGAAAUCGAGGUUCACGUGUGAGUAGACUCAGUGGAGAUUACAAAAGGGAUAUAUCCUCAAAGUAUUACCACGCCGUUUUCUGAACUUUGAAAUUGAAUAGUUAAAAAGGCA
Molecule: long non-coding RNA, 704 nt
Organism: Brassica oleracea var. oleracea
Lineage: Eukaryota; Viridiplantae; Streptophyta; Magnoliopsida; Brassicales; Brassicaceae
Exons: 5
Source: RefSeq, a predicted model, not a curated record